This 463-nucleotide ribosomal RNA is filed under the name uncultured bacterium. RNAcentral describes it as "partial 16S ribosomal RNA". It matches the Rfam family "Bacterial small subunit ribosomal RNA", at positions 28 to 507 of the family's 1533-position model. The record is from RNAcentral.
GACGAACGCUGGCGGCGUGCUUAACACAUGCAAGUCGAACGGAAAGGCCUUUUCGGAGGUACUCGAGUGGCGAACGGGUGAGUAACACGUGGGUGAUCUGCCCUGCACUCUGGGAUAAGCCUGGGAAACUGGGUCUAAUACCGGAUAGGACCGCACUUUAGUGUGUGUGGUGGAAAGUUUUUUCGGUGUAGGAUGAGCCCGCGGCCUAUCAGCUUGUUGGUGGCGUAAUGGCCUACCAAGGCGGCGACGGGUAGCCGGACUGAGAGGUUGGUCGGCCACAUUGGGACUGAGAUACGGCCCAGACUCCUACGGGAGGCAGCAGUGGGGAAUAUUGCACAAUGGGCGCAAGCCUGAUGCAGCGACGCCGCGUGGGGGAUGACGGCCUUCGGGUUGUAAACUCCUUUCGCCAGGGACGAAGCGUUUUGUGACGGUACCUGGAGAAGAAGCACCGGCUAACUACGUG